UAUUAUGAGAGUUUGAUCCUGGCUCAGGACGAACGCUGGCGGCGUGCCUAAUACAUGCAAGUCGAACGCUUCUUUCCUCCCGAGUGCUUGCACUCAAUUGGAAAGAGGAGUGGCGGACGGGUGAGUAACACGUGGGUAACCUACCCAUCAGAGGGGGAUAACACUUGGAAACAGGUGCUAAUACCGCAUAACAGUUUAUGCCGCAUGGCAUAAGAGUGAAAGGCGCUUUCGGGUGUCGCUGAUGGAUGGACCCGCGGUGCAUUAGCUAGUUGGUGAGGUAACGGCUCACCAAGGCCACGAUGCAUAGCCGACCUGAGAGGGUGAUCGGCCACACUGGGACUGAGACACGGCCCAGACUCCUACGGGAGGCAGCAGUAGGGAAUCUUCGGCAAUGGACGAAAGUCUGACCGAGCAACGCCGCGUGAGUGAAGAAGGUUUUCGGAUCGUAAAACUCUGUUGUUAGAGAAGAACAAGGACGUUAGUAACUGAACGUCCCCUGACGGUAUCUAACCAGAAAGCCACGGCUAACUACGUGCCAGCAGCCGCGGUAAUACGUAGGUGGCAAGCGUUGUCCGGAUUUAUUGGGCGUAAAGCGAGCGCAGGCGGUUUCUUAAGUCUGAUGUGAAAGCCCCCGGCUCAACCGGGAAGGGUCAUUGGAAACUGGGAGACUUGAGUGCAGAAGAGGAGAGUGGAAUUCCAUGUGUAGCGGUGAAAUGCGUAGAU
This 723-nucleotide ribosomal RNA is filed under the name Enterococcus faecalis. RNAcentral's name for it is "bacterial SSU rRNA". It matches the Rfam family "Bacterial small subunit ribosomal RNA", at positions 1 to 695 of the family's 1533-position model. Lineage: Bacteria; Bacillati; Bacillota; Bacilli; Lactobacillales; Enterococcaceae. The record is from RNAcentral.